This is a non-coding RNA of Merluccius polli (Benguela hake), 73 nucleotides long. NCBI's taxonomy places the organism in Eukaryota, Metazoa, Chordata, Actinopteri, Gadiformes, Merlucciidae. The record is from the annotation of a GenBank genome assembly.
UAGCUCAGUUGGGAGAGCGUUAGACUGAAGAUCUAAAGGCUUCAGCUUUCCUGAAAGGUUCACAUCCUUCAGG